AUGAACGCUGGCGGCGUGCCUAAUACAUGCCAGUCGAGCGAACAGACGAGGAGCUUGCUCCUCUGACGUUAGCGGCGGACGGGUGAGUAACACGUGGAUAACCUACCUAUAAGACUGGGAUAACUUCGGGAAACCGGAGCUAAUACCGGAUAAUAUAUUGAACCGCAUGGUUCAAUAGUGAAAGACGGUUUUGCUGUCACUUAUAGAUGGAUCCGCGCCGCAUUAGCUAGUUGGUAAGGUAACGGCUUACCAAGGCAACGAUGCGUAGCCGACCUGAGAGGGUGAUCGGCCACACUGGAACUGAGACACGGUCCAGACUCCUACGGGAGGCAGCAGUAGGGAAUCUUCCGCAAUGGGCGAAAGCCUGACGGAGCAACGCCGCGUGAGUAAUGAAGGUCUUCGGAUCGUAAAACUCUGUUAUUAGGGAAGAACAAAUGUGUAAGUAACUAUGCACGUCUUGACGGUACCUAAUCAGAAAGCCACGGCUAACUACGUG
This 496-nucleotide ribosomal RNA is filed under the name uncultured bacterium. Its description in RNAcentral is "partial 16S ribosomal RNA". It matches the Rfam family "Bacterial small subunit ribosomal RNA", at positions 29 to 507 of the family's 1533-position model. The record is from RNAcentral.